This 468-nucleotide ribosomal RNA is filed under the name uncultured bacterium. RNAcentral describes it as "partial 16S ribosomal RNA". It matches the Rfam family "Bacterial small subunit ribosomal RNA", at positions 28 to 507 of the family's 1533-position model. The record is from RNAcentral.
GACGAACGCUGGCGGCGUGCUUAACACAUGCAAGUCGAACGGAAAGGCCCUGCUUUUGUGGGGUGCUCGAGUGGCGAACGGGUGAGUAACACGUGAGUAACCUGCCCUUGAUUUUGGGAUAACUUCAGGAAACUGGGGCUAAUACCGGAUAGGAGCUCCUGCUGCAUGGUGGGGGUUGGAAAGUUUCGGCGGUUGGGGAUGGACUCGCGGCUUAUCAGCUUGUUGGUGGGGUAGUGGCUUACCAAGGCUUUGACGGGUCGCCGGCCUGAGAGGGUGACCGGCCACAUUGGGACUGAGAUACGGCCCAGACUCCUACGGGAGGCAGCAGUGGGGAAUAUUGCACAAGGGGCGGAAGCCUGAUGCAGCAACGCCGCGUGCGGGAUGACGGCCUUCGGGUUGUAAACCGCUUUCGCCUGUGACGAAGCGUGAGUGACGGUAAUGGGUAAAGAAGCACCGGCUAACUACGUG